This 483-nucleotide ribosomal RNA is filed under the name uncultured bacterium. RNAcentral describes it as "partial 16S ribosomal RNA". It matches the Rfam family "Bacterial small subunit ribosomal RNA", at positions 28 to 507 of the family's 1533-position model. The record is from RNAcentral.
GACGAACGCUGGCGGCGUGCUUAACACAUGCAAGUCGAACGCUGAAGCUCAGCUUUUGUUGGGUGGAUGAGCGGCGAACGGGUGAGUAACACGUGAGUAACCUGCCCCCUUCUUUGGGAUAACGCCCGGAAACGGGUGCUAAUACUGGAUAUUCACUGGUCUUCGCAUGGGGGUUGGUGGAAAGGGUUUUUCUGGUGGGGGAUGGGCUCGCGGCCUAUCAGCUUGUUGGUGGGGUGAUGGCCUACCAAGGCUUUGACGGGUAGCCGGCCUGAGAGGGUGACCGGUCACAUUGGGACUGAGAUACGGCCCAGACUCGUACGGGAGGCAGCAGUGGGGAAUAUUGCACAAUGGGCGAAAGCCUGAUGCAGCGACGCCGCGUGAGGGAUGGAGGCCUUCGGGUUGUGAACCUCUUUCGCUCAUGGUCAAGCCGCAACAAUGGUUGUGGUGAGGGUAGUGGGUAAAGAAGCGCCGGCUAACUACGUG